This 22-nucleotide microRNA is filed under the name Monodelphis domestica (gray short-tailed opossum). RNAcentral's name for it is "mdo-miR-7381-3p". The record is from miRBase by way of RNAcentral. Lineage: Eukaryota; Metazoa; Chordata; Mammalia; Didelphimorphia; Didelphidae.
AUGCUGGACGGUUUUGCCUUCU